AUGCGCGGCUGUGAUGAGGCGAUUGAGCAGCAGCGGCCGCGGCUGCACCGGCGGCGGCAACUGCCGAGGCCGAGGGGCGACGACGCGGCCACGGCCGCUAGCGGAGAACAGAGGCAGCCUGCCGACCAUCAGGAACGGAAGCGGCUGGAGAAGGAUCGGCACCACCGGGGCAUCACCGCGAUCCCCGGCAGAGGCAGAGGCAGAGGCGGGCACUGGCGCCCGGCGCUGCACAGCAUCACAGAGUCGUCGUCCAGCGGGCACACCGACUGCGAGGAUACAUGUAAAUGA
This 288-nucleotide ribosomal RNA is filed under the name Triticum aestivum (bread wheat). RNAcentral describes it as "partial small subunit ribosomal RNA". Lineage: Eukaryota; Viridiplantae; Streptophyta; Magnoliopsida; Poales; Poaceae. The record is from RNAcentral.